Molecule: transfer RNA, 90 nt
Filed under: Rubrivivax sp.
Lineage: Bacteria; Pseudomonadati; Pseudomonadota; Betaproteobacteria; Burkholderiales; Sphaerotilaceae
Also listed under: 1 other name
Description: tRNA-Ser
Rfam family: tRNA
About the family: Transfer RNA (tRNA) molecules are approximately 80 nucleotides in length.
Source: RNAcentral
GGAAGCGUGGCCGAGCGGUUUAAGGCACCGGUCUUGAAAACCGGCGAGGGCUUACCCCCUCCGUGAGUUCGAAUCUCACCGCUUCCGCCA